CCUGACGAGCAUAGCACGCUGGUCCCACCCCUUCCCAUCCCGAACAGGGCCGUGAAACGGUGUUGCGCCGAUGAUAGUAUGGAUUACCCAUGCGAAAGUAGGUCAUCGUCAGGU
This 114-nucleotide ribosomal RNA is filed under the name Burkholderiales bacterium. The record is from RNAcentral. RNAcentral also lists the same sequence under 1 other name. Lineage: Bacteria; Pseudomonadati; Pseudomonadota; Betaproteobacteria; Burkholderiales.